Molecule: ribosomal RNA, 497 nt
Filed under: uncultured bacterium
Lineage: Bacteria
Description: partial 16S ribosomal RNA
Rfam family: Bacterial small subunit ribosomal RNA
Source: RNAcentral
GACGAACGCUGGCGGCGUGCCUAAUACAUGCAAGUUGAGCGCUGAAGGUUGGUACUUGUACCAACUGGAUGAGCAGCGAACGGGUGAGUAACGCGUGGGGAAUCUGCCUUUGAGCGGGGGACAACAUUUGGAAACGAAUGCUAAUACCGCAUAAAAACUUUAAACACAAGUUUUAAGUUUGAAAGAUGCAAUUGCAUCACUCAAAGAUGAUCCCGCGUUGUAUUAGCUAGUUGGUGAGGUAAAGGCUCACCAAGGCGAUGAUACAUAGCCGACCUGAGAGGGUGAUCGGCCAAAAUGGGAAUGAGACACGGCCCAAACUCCUACGGGAGGCAGCAGUAGGGGAUCUUCGGCAAUGGACGAAAGUCUGACCGAGCAACGCCGCGUGAGGGAAGAAGGUUUUCGGAUCGUAAAACUCUGUUGGUAGAGAAGAACGUUGGUGAGAGUGGAAAGCUCAUCAAGUGACGGUAACUACCCAGAAAGGGACGGCUAACUACGUG